This 627-nucleotide ribosomal RNA is filed under the name uncultured bacterium. Its description in RNAcentral is "bacterial SSU rRNA". It matches the Rfam family "Bacterial small subunit ribosomal RNA", at positions 28 to 628 of the family's 1533-position model. The record is from RNAcentral.
AAUGAACGCUGGCGGCGUGCCUAACACAUGCAAGUCGCACGAGAACGUUUCAGCUUGCUGAAACUAGUAAAGUGGCGCACGGGUGAGUAACGCGUGGGUAAUCUACCUCCGAAUUGGGGAUAACAUUGCGAAAGCGAUGCUAAUACCGAAUGACAUCUCAAUAACACCGGUUUUUGAGAUCAAAGGUGGCCUCUCCAUGGAAGCUUCUGUUUGGAGAUGAGCCCGCGUACCAUUAGCUUGUUGGUAGGGUAAUGGCCUACCAAGGCAACGAUGGUUAGCUGGUCUGAGAGGAUGAUCAGCCACACUGGAACUGACACACGGUCCAGACUCCUACGGGAGGCAGCAGUGAGGAAUUUUGCGCAAUGGGGGAAACCCUGACGCAGCAACGCCGCGUGAGUGAUGAAGGCUUUCGGGUCGUAAAGCUCUGUCAAGUGGGAAGAACCUGCUUUUGCUAAUAUCAUUAGGCACUGACGGUACCACUGAAGGAAGCACCGGCUAACUCCGUGCCAGCAGCCGCGGUAAUACGGAGGGUGCAAGCGUUAUUCGGAAUCACUGGGCGUAAAGAGCGCGUAGGCGGUUUGUUAAGUCAGAUGUGAAAGCCCGGGGCUCAACCCCGGAAGUGCAUUU